UGGGGAAUAUUGCACAAUGGAGGGAACUCUGAUGCAGCGACGCCGCGUGAGUGAUGAAGGAAUUCGUUUCGUAAAACUCUGUUCUAUGGGAAGAAAAGGACUGUACCAUAGGAGAAAGCUCCGGCUAAAUACGUGCCAGCAGCCGCGGUAAUACGUAUGGAGCGAGCGUUGUACGGAAUUAUUGGGCGUAAAGGGUGCGCAGGCGGCUUUACAAGUUGGAUGUGAAAUAUUGUGGCUCACCCACAAACGUGCAUCCAAAACUGCAAAGCUUGAGUUAAGGAGAGGUAAGUGGAAUUCCUGGUGUAGCGGUGGAAUGCGUAGAUAUCAGGAGGAAUACCGGUGGCGAAGGCGACUUACUGGCCUUAAACUGACGCUCAGGCACGAAAGCGUGGGGAGCAAACAGG
RNAcentral lists this ribosomal RNA (404 nucleotides) under Fusobacteriota bacterium. RNAcentral describes it as "Fusobacteria bacterium partial 16S ribosomal RNA". It matches the Rfam family "Bacterial small subunit ribosomal RNA", at positions 355 to 776 of the family's 1533-position model. The record is from RNAcentral. Lineage: Bacteria; Fusobacteriati; Fusobacteriota.